UAUACCACAAACCCCCGAGGUGCCUUAUUGCUACUGGUUACCAAGGGGCGGCAGGUGGUUAGAGCGUUGGGCCAGUAACCGAAAGGUUGCUGGAUCGAAUCCCCGAGCUGACAAAGUAAAAAGCUGUCGUCUGCCCUUGGGCAAGAAAGUUAACACACUGUUCCCUGGUAGGCCGUCAUUGUUAAUAAGAAUUUGACAUUAACUGACUUGCCUAGUUACAGGUUACAUUUAAAACCAACAUAAUUAGUGCAGUAAAAAAUAAAUUGUUGGCACACCCAUGGUAUAUGGUCUGAUAUACUGUGGCUUUCAGCCAAUCAGCAUUCAGGGCUGAAACCACCCAGCUUUAAACGAUUUAGUUUAAAGUCAAAUCACGAAUGUACGCAAUUGAGAUACAGUUGCCAUAGGGAAGUCAUCCGUAGAUGGAAUGUGUAUUUGGUCUUGUACAAAAUAACAUUAAAAUCAUGCACAGACUAUCUCAAGUUAGUAAUUAUUGCAUGAAAUCAAGACAUGCAUAUGCAUCGUGGGCCGUGAAUAACAACUAUGUUGAUGGGGGUGUUUUCUUGUAUUAGAAGGCAUAUCAUGUUAAUAGAUAAUUGGAACUGAACAGUAGCUUUACAUUCUAGUCCCAAGCCCUUGCAGGGAAAGGUGCUCUUCAUAUAAGGCUGAGACUCCAAGUCCUAUUAGAAAGUCUUUGUAUUAUCAAUAUUUAUCAUUAAAUUGAUGUUGAGCAUUUGCCACCUGAUUUUGUACUGUCUGAGUAUUUGUGGAAAACAAAUAUUGAUAACUAAAUGUUAUGAAUAAUAAUAGUCUGUCUUAUACAUAAAAUGACAAUAGAUCCAAUAUUUAUCUUGAUCAUGCUUAUUUGAGUCGUUGGAGUGUGUUUGCGUGGUAUUUGAGAUGGUUUAGCUUCUCCAUUGCUUAGCUUUACCCUGUAGUAGUUUUCACUUGUAUAGCUUUGAUUUGGGCAGAACAUUGUCUAGAUGGGCUGAGUGGUAGUAGUAUAGGCUGGCUUUUCUAUCCUAUCCAGCUAAGGUAAUGGCUCCUGUAUUACAGAGGAAAGUGAAAGCAAACAACGUAAAUUACAAAGCGGGUGUUAUCUGUGUUCAAACUAUUUUAAACUGUGGGCAAACAAAAAAAUAUAUAAAAUUGGAUGUGUGUACAGAAAGGCCGCUCUCCUUUACCCAUCUUCCCUUGAAGGUCUACAUUUGAAAUAACAUCCCUGUUUAGUAGAGUAACUUAUUUUCUUAACUCAAAUGUAACAAUGAAUGUAGUUAUGGCCAGUGUAUUUGUAAUAUUAAGUUGUAUCCACCUGUAAUUUAUGCUUGUAUCCAUAACUUUUUUUCAUGCAUGCGCAUUAGCUUCAGUCCACAAACCUUAAACUGAUUGGCUCCUGAAAGUGGGAUAAAGUCCAACUUCAGUCUGUUUUCAUAAGUACUUUAGCAUAAGCUUACAUCACAUAUUGUCAAAUAAUUAAUUCCCCUUCUGUCAUCACAUUGAAUAGACAUGAGUAAGAAACUGAUUAGUCUCAUACAUCUUGUUCAUCAGAAAGCAAAAUGUUAUCAUUUAAUAGUUGAUUUCUUAAGUUACAUUUGAAAGCUAUCACGGGAACAUUUAGACUUCUAUAAAAUAAAACAGUUUUGCUACAUAGUGUCACACUAGUGCAAAGAUCGGUCCGUUUGAUCCUUUUCCUUUGUGAUUUUUGGCUUAUGCUCGUCUUGGUUCUGAUAUUCCACUACAGUGCACAGUUUUAUGGAAAAUGACUAAUGCUGUCUCAGGCAACUAAUCCAACAUUUUAAUUUUGUGUUGACACCUUGGAAUGUCUGCAAAUGUCAAAGUUUUUAAGAUGCUUAUGAUCUCUAACAUGACGUGAUGCUGUCUCAGUGCCAUGGCUUCAGCAUGUCCUGCUGUGAUGAGCGUCCCAUAUCUCAGUCUUCUCUCCCCCUUGAGUAAACGGCACGAUUGUUUUCCAGUGUUCUUCGGUUGAGCUGAUUCCAAGCACUAGGCCAGGAUUGUCGUUAUGCCAAGCUUGACCCCCUAUGAUCCUAUUUAAAAAGAGAACAGAGCCUUCAUAGCGCUUCACCAAACUAAUGCCAUAUAUGUGUGUUUAACAUGCAGGACUGACAUGGAUAUGUUAUAUCCUUCUGAAAGAAUUGAGGGCUUCAGAAUGACUUGGCUUUUUAUAUACCAACUUAGUAAACUACCUCAAAACGGUCUCGGGUGCUUGUGUUUAUCCCUAAUUUAUGACGAAGACAAAAAUCAAUUGUAGUGACCAAACAACAUAAGCCAAUACUGUGUAUUAGAGACAUUAUUUUACAUCCCAAAAAUGUAUUACAGAUUAACUUUACAUACAAAAAUAAAGUUCAAAGGACCAAAUUUUGUAAUUGCAGUUCAAGUCUCAAUGUUAUUAUAUAUGCAUGAGAGUCCUCUUAAUUUUUAUUUUAUAACUGUAGUGAUAACAAGAAUAACCAAUGAACCCUUAGCUAGCAGAAACUGAGUUGGGAGGAGUUCGCGUAGCAAUAUAAGCUGUAGUCAUGACUGGAUGAUAUAUUGAUGUGCCAAUCGAAUGGCUAUUUAUUCGUUCAUCUAAUCACUUACUAUUCCUGCUAUAAGUUUUUGGUAGUAUUAAAUAUAAAUAAUGGGCUGCAGAUGGAGGCUUGUCAAUGGGAUGAUGUAUGCAGAGCAAUAACUACUGUCCAAGCUGAGGUUGUGAUAGUAGUCCAAGCUGAGGUUGUGAUAGUAGUCCAAGCUGAGGUUGUGAUAGUAGUCCAAGCUGAGGUUGUGAUAGUAGUCCAAGCUGAGGUUGUGAUAGUAGUCCAAGCUGAGGUUGUGAUAGUAGUCCAAGCUGAGGUUGUGAUAGUAGUCCAAGCUGAGGUUGUGAUAGUAGUCCAAGCUGAGGUUGUGAUAGUAGUCCAAGCUGAGGUUGUGAUAGUAGUCCAAGCUGAGGUUGUGAUAGUAGUCCAAGCUGAGGUUGUGAUAGUAGUCCAAGCUGAGGUUGUGAUAGUAGUCCAAGCUGAGGUUGUGAUAGUAGUCCAAGCUGAGGUUGUGAUUUGCUUGACUAGGUGUAAUGCAAGUCUCACCUAGUGAGCUACAUGAACCCUGCCUUGUGAUCUAGUCAACUACAGCAGGCCUCAGACUCGGUGGCGUCUUUAAUUCAGCCUUUAAGAGAUGGAUGUCUGAUAAAUGGAAUGUACUUGUAGCUUAGCAAACAAAUGGUCCACAGUUAAAGCUUACUAAGUGUCUUCUGACACAAUCUGCAUCUUUAAGUGAUUUUAUCCAGUUCCGCAAUAACACCGGCAAGGCUUUUAUUUCAUGUUGUUGCCCUUUACCAGUUUUAAUUUGUUCUUACACCCAGAAAAAGGAAAAUAACUAUCAAACUAUUAAUUAUCCACAUUUGUAAUGUUUUAGAUGAGGCUAAUAUAUGUAUUUUUGCAUGCUACAUUUUACGAAGUGAAUACAUUUGAACUACACUUUCCUCAAUGUUUUGUACAUUGACAUGAUAUACAGAUGUAGCCUACUGGCAUAUUUCAGUCACUUAAGAUAAUCUGAUAGCCCAAUGGAAAGGUACAACAACAAGGUAUGGAAAUUAAAUUCCAAUUCUUGUCAUUGUCAUCUGAUCUGAAAACAUGUUUUUAUGGUGUGUGCCUUUUUAGAGAUUUAUUUUCCACCAAUCCUAUUUGAGUUGCUCACCCAUAUUUGAUUUACAGCACCACAUAAAAUAAUGUCCACAUUAUCAUGCAACCUUGAGUGAAGACGCUGCAUAGAGUGAUCAGUAUUUGUGUUUUGCACUUUCGAAGCAGUUUAAAAAAAUGCCCGCUUAAGGCUGGGCAGACAGAAAAAUGUAUAAAACACAAGGUAUUUUAUGCUAUCAACAUGAAUAAUAUGACUGAAGAGCUUUUCUAAAAAGGUAAAGAUAUAUCUAUAUAUAUUCACGAAGUACCUCAUAAGCCUGACAAAUGCUGCAUUGACUUUUCUCAUUUUUUAUUUUGUCUUCAUAUUGUCCAAUAAAAUGUAAAUAUCCCCUUUAGGAGGUUUGAUUGUCACAAGGCCGUGCAUAUGCCAUGCAAAACCAGUUCACUGUCAAACAUUUAAAUGGUAUUUUCUGAACCUGAAGCCAAAAUAAAUGGUUGUGUGAGAUUGUGUCAUGUAUGCACUUUUCUUAAAUACAUUUAUCAUCAUUCUAAAUUGUAGCCACAUACUUUCCAUGUUUUGCUUGUUAGGAUGCUGUGAGUUUCCAAAGAACCCCAAAAAAUUGGUUUCAGUCAGGAAUUCAUGUCAUUUUCCAUCAACAAAACUAUGGCGACUCAAUACUGUUUGACGUGACCGUUGACUCCGGUAUUGCCAUGAGAGGGCUGUAUCUGCAACUGUUUAUCCUCCCUAUCUUAUUCCACACCUUUGUCUUAAGAUAGCCUUAGAACUUCAAAUGGAGUACCUUCUUCUAGUAUAUUUGACCUUAAAAGUACAAAAUGAUGCACUUGAAUCCACACCUUGAGAAACCAUGUCAUGCAUGCGCCAUUGCCACAUAUCUACCUCCUAUGAAUGUAAGUGUCCUGAAGAUUCAGUCACCUGAUUUUAAUUGGUUCUGUUACUCUUUUUUUAAAUAUUUUUUUUAUGACAAUCAUCCUUGAAUGAUCAAUUAAAUAUUUUUGAAAAGCCCUACACUUCCUUAUGUCUUGCCUUUUCACAGUAAACACUAUCCAGGACCUACCAUUUCUGUUUUAACACAUCAAGGAUUUUUUUCUUUAAAUGUCAAUGUAAAGCGACCAAAUGCUUUUUUGCAAAGGCAGAGUCCUGCACAGUACAGUGAACUCAAACCUCCCUUGCGUGUGAUUGAGAUUUUCAGAGUUUUCUCUACCACAUGCUAAAACUGAAUUUGCUGUCAUAUCUAUCAUGGAGAGAUCUUUUUGGUGCUGGUUUAUUGGUUCGAUCCACUGCUAGCAGCUCCUCGUUGUCGAAAAUGUCAGUUUUGAUUUCUAUUACUUUUUUUGUUAACAAUUAUGAUUACAAACACGAGAGAUGCUGUAAAGUCCUGAUAGAAAAUGUGAAUGUUUCAUUUAAUAUAGCUAACUCUGGCUUGACUGUAAAUUGCAUUAAUUCAUAAAAAUAUCAAGUUUCUUAAAGUUUUGUCUUUUACUAUGUAUAUAAAGAUUUGGUUAAAAUGUGAA
Oncorhynchus gorbuscha (pink salmon) is the source of this 5162-nucleotide long non-coding RNA. RefSeq lists it as uncharacterized. NCBI's taxonomy places the organism in Eukaryota, Metazoa, Chordata, Actinopteri, Salmoniformes, Salmonidae. The transcript has 2 exons. The record is from RefSeq and is a predicted model, not a curated record.